AGGGUCCAGGGUUCAAGUCCCUGUUCGGGC
Molecule: non-coding RNA, 30 nt
Filed under: Drosophila melanogaster (fruit fly)
Lineage: Eukaryota; Metazoa; Arthropoda; Insecta; Diptera; Drosophilidae
Also listed under: 7 other names
Source: RNAcentral